CUGGCUGUUCCUCUGCCCGGAACGAAAAUAAAACAAACAUUCAGAUGAAAUGGAGCAUUAAAGGAAGAUCAGGCCGGUCUUAAUGUGCCAUUAGGAACGAUCAGGGCGAGACUCGGGCUGACUCUGCUGUUAUUCCUUCCUUUGCAGGUGGCCUUUCCUCGCCCUUGGAAGCCGGGUUGGGGGCAGGGGACCAUCCCCGCGUCCUCCGUGGGGACAGAGCUCCAGGCUCAGCUUGCCACGGAAGGACCAAGCUCCUGAGCAGGGCCCGGCACCCCGGGGAAGCAGCCAGAAACAGCAACAGUUUUGAUGGCACCAAAUUAGCGACAAAAUGUUCCUUCCGAACAGGCGGUUUAUAACUGGAGACGAGUUCUCUCCUCCUUCAGCAUGGCUUAUCUCCAUGAAAUUAGUAAUUGGCAUUUCUCUCUGAAGCCGGGUAAGCGCCAGCAGCCGGUAACACCCACGCCACACUCCGUUCUCGCCCAGAGGCCCCGCAGCCAAAGCAGAGGCUAAUAAAAAUAAUAACAAGGAAUUAAAAAAAAAAAAAAAAAAAAGGCAGAAAGUGCUGAAAUCAGAUUUUA
Molecule: long non-coding RNA, 578 nt
Organism: Calypte anna (Anna's hummingbird)
Lineage: Eukaryota; Metazoa; Chordata; Aves; Apodiformes; Trochilidae
Exons: 3
Source: RefSeq, a predicted model, not a curated record